Non-coding RNA from Procambarus clarkii (red swamp crayfish), 198 nucleotides. Lineage: Eukaryota; Metazoa; Arthropoda; Malacostraca; Decapoda; Cambaridae. The record is from RefSeq and is a predicted model, not a curated record.
UUUUUGAGGACCGUAUCACUGACCAGGUCACUUAGAGUCCUACCCUGAAGGGCGAGGCGAUAUCCUGCGGGCAGCGCCACAAGGGGGCACCUUAGAAGGUGUACUGAGCCUGACAGGGAAAGGUAGACCAAACAGCUCAUUUAGGUGUUAGGUAUCCCUGAUUCCACCUGGGGGAAUCAUUCUACGACCUCCGUUGGA